Molecule: small RNA, 11668 nt
Filed under: Caenorhabditis elegans
Lineage: Eukaryota; Metazoa; Nematoda; Chromadorea; Rhabditida; Rhabditidae
Description: Unclassified non-coding RNA Y48A6C.14
Source: RNAcentral
GGACGAUCAUCUCACUGCGGAUCAUCAUCUGGAACACAUGUGUUCAGAGUGCGAAGAGAGCUUUGGCUCUGCAGAAGAGGCCAAAGAGCAUACUCUUUUAGCUCACGAAAAUGCUCAAACAUUCGAUGAUCCAAAAAUUAGAAAUACUAGGUAUUGUUGUUAUCUCAGAGCUAAAAUAAAUAUAAUAUUUCAGAAUUGUAGAUUCCAUAAUUGCAGCAGUGAGAGUAUCCGGUGAUGUGAUUGAAGAAUUCAAUUCAGUGAUCAUGCGAGCGGUUAUUCGUCAUUGGGGAAACACGAGCACGGAAAAGCUGGUAAGGAGCAGAUGAUAAUUUUAUUUUAUCUGAGAAUGCGUUUUGCGCAAAAUAUCUUGUAUCGAAAACUACAGUAACUUUUUCAAAGACUACUGUAUCACUAGCGGCGACUUACGGAAAUCAUUCGAUAAAAAUUAAAAGAAAUCACAAAAAUGACAACAACUUGAAUUUCGCUGUCACAAUUUGAUCAGAAAAUUACAAAUAGCAAGCCAAUACAUCGACGCCAGUUCUACAGUAGGCAGUUCAGGUUUUUUAUACAGUUAAGUAUUAUAUUAAAAGUAAAAUAUUAAAACUGUCACCUUAAAUUUGAAUCCAGCCAAGCCCGCGAAAAACUCCGCUCGAUUUCGGAUGCCGAAAAUUGGCUCGAAUCGAGAGAUAUUCGGGAGAUGCUGGAAUCAAAUAAGACCUACUUUCUUUUAGAUUUCCGCCGAUCACCACAAAAAUGAAAAGAGUGGGUAAUAUAUCGCGGCCGACAACCCACGGGUUCCGCGCCUCGCUAUAAAUUAAGUAAAUUAAGCCACGCCCUUCAAAAGCACACCAACUGAUAGGGUGUGGCUUAAUUGACUUAAUUUAGAGCGAGGCGCGGAACCCGUGGGUUGUCGGCCGCCAUGUAUUACCCACUCUUUUCAUUUUUGUGGUGAUCGGCGGAAAUCUAAAAGAAAGUAGGUCUUAUUUGAUUCCAGCAUCUCCCGAAUAUCUCUCGAUUCGAGCCAAUUUUUGGCAUCCGAAAUCGAGAGGGAAUUUUUCACGGGCUUGGCUAAAUUCAAAUUUGAUGUGACAGUUUUAAAAUUUUGAUACUCUUUUUAACGAAAAAUUAUUCGAUUUCAGAUUGCUGUCGUUGAUUCUCCAAUGAUUACUCGUGACUUCUAUAUCGACUGUUUUGAAGCUUUAAAGAUGGUAGACUAUUCAUUUGUAUUUAAACAAUGAAAUAAAAUUCGAAAUUUGCAGAGAUACGAUUCUGGAGAGAAGUCCAUCGAUCUUCUCUGUCGUUUGGCAAAAUUGUGUACAAAAAUUGGAAAUUUUGUUGAGAAGGAAAAGAGAAAGGACAUCAUAAUCAAAGGAAAGAUGUACGCUACCGAAGCCUGGAACACCGAUUCGUACAACAUCUUGGCUGCUCAUUGGGCCGCUGUGAUGUCAGGAAAGGCAAUCGAAUAUCUUGAAGGCGAUGAAAAGAAUCUGGAGAUGAGACACUGCAGACAAUAUCUCGAUCGUGCCAUCUCUAUCCAGGCAGGAAAAAAUGCAAUGUACAAUAAUAUUCUUGGCCGUUGGGCUCUUUCAGCACUGGAGAUUUGGGAGUCUGACCGACAACAGUUAAUUCAUCAUUAUGCCACCCCAUAUGACGCUAUCGACGAUGCCAUUUAUCAGUUCAGAUCCGCUUUCGAUCUCAUACCGUAUUGGAUCGAUAAUAUUGUACACCUGGGCAAAGCGCUUCUUUACAAUGAAAACAAAGAAGCCGCCAUUGGAAUGUUUCAGCUCGCACUCAAAAUGGACCCGUCGAACGAUAUCGAGAAAGAGUUGCUCGCCGACGCCCUUGACUUGUGCUCAAUUUGAUCCUUCUUUUAUUUCCAUUUUAUUUUCUGUGUCUCAUUUUUCCGUUUGCACUUUCCUCCGUUUUUUUAUUGUAAAAAUUCCGUAAAAAUCGGCCCAAAAUUCCCAUUUUCAGGGGAUUCUUGGAGCCCAACUUCUUUUUUUAAAAAUUUGGAUUUUUAAAUUUUUCCCCGAUUUUCUAUAGGAAAUUCCAAAACAUUUACUGAAAAAUAGAAAAAAAAAUGGCCAGAUUUCUCGAAAAAAUUAAAAUUUUUGGAAUUUUUCUGAUUUUUAGCUAAUUUUUUGAAAAAACUGGCUCAAAAAUUUUUUUUUGGUAUUUUUUAAAGAAUUUUUAUUUUUAGAAAAUCCGUGAAAAUUGAGGGAAAUUGAGCCAGAAAUUUGGUAUUUUGGAGCCCAAAAUCUGUUAAUUUUUAUUUUUAAAUUUCCACGAAUUUUAAGCUAAUUUUCUGAAGAAGUUGGCUCAAAAUUUCGGUUUUUUGGAAUUUAUUUUUUUCCUGAAUUCCUAGAAUUUAUAGUGUAGUUGAUCCGGAAAUUCUAUUUUUCUCAAAUAAUUGAAAAUUUUUACUUUCAGAAAAUCCCUGAAAAUUGAGUGAAAUUGAGCUCAAAAUUCAUAUUCUUCUCAAAAAAUUGAUUUUUCUGUUGAAACUUCCUUGAGAAAAUUUCUAGAAGAAGCUGGCUCAAAAUUUCGAAUUUUUGGAAAGUUUUUGGAAUUUUCAUAAUCAAGUUUUUUUCGAAAAAAUUGAAAUUCCGCCGAGUUUAAGCUAAUUUUUAGAAUUUUUCUCAGUUAACGGUUCUUUUCUAGUGAAAAAUUCCAAAAUUUAGAAAUUUAAAAAUCCCUUUUCCCCUUAUAAAUUGCCCCAAACAUUUCCGCUUCAACCAAUUUUUCAACAUUUUUAUUCUAUAUUUAACGGCUAUACAAAAAAAUCGAUAAUUUCUCAGGUUUUCACCUCUAUUUCCUAUCUUGUUCACACGCCUCGGUCCCAAAAUUUAAUAGAUUUUCAGGCCAAAAAAACCAAUGGGGUUUUUACAAAUUCUUCAAGAAUGUCGAGCCGAAGGACUAUGGCCAAUUGGGCCAUCUUGUAAUAAGGUGCUGUGAAAAAUUUGGAAAAAAAUUAUUAUACAUUCGUCGAAAAAUUUCAUCUCAGUUUAAAGGCGCACACAUUUUUUGUACUUUGGGUCUCACCACGAUUUCGACUUUUUGAAGCUUAAAAUCACUAAAAAUUACGUGGAUCGUGGCAGGACAAAAAAGUGUUAUUAUACAUUCGCCAAAAAAUGCCAGCUGAUGAAAGGUGCAUGUUUUUUGCAAAAAUUGCAAAAAAUUACCAAUCGAAAAAAAAAACUCAUAUUUUUCCGAUGGGUCUCGCCACGAUCUGCGUCUUUUGGAUCCUAAAAGAACCCAAAAUUAUGUGAAUCGUGGCGGGACCCAGAAGUGUAUGCGCCUUUAAAAUAGGAGAGUAUAUUUUUGAGAAUGUGUAAUAAUUUAUUUUUUUGCUUUGAAGAAACUUUUUAUCAUUUUAUGAUAAUAAUAAUUUUAUUAUACAUACGUCGAAAAAAUGUCAUGGCAAUUACCUUUAGGUCUCGCCACGAUCUACGUCUUUUGGAUCCUAGAAGCGUCCAAAAUCACGCAAUUCGUGACGAGACCCAACAGUGUAUGCGUCUUUAAAAUAAGCUUGCAUAAUUGUGGGAAUGUAUAAUAAUUUAUUAUUGUAUUUUUUCAAUUAUUUAUUACAAAAAAAUGUAUCAAAAAAUUUUAUACAAAUCAACAAAAAAAACAAAAACAAUUUUUUUCGUGUACUCCACACGGACAACAAACUGUAGUUUUACAACUAAAACGCGCCGUAAAUCUACACAAAAUCUCUCCGACCCAAAAUGGCCUAAUUCGGCAAACUCUGCCAUUUCGAUUCAUGAGGGAAGCCAGAAUUCCGUGUUUUAACCGAAAAUUCCAGAGUCUAUCAAAAAAUUCCAAUUUCACCUUUCUACCGUAGUCCAGCGCGGGAAUUCAAAAUUCUCACGUUCCACCGGUCUCCCUUAUCAAUAUAUAUAUCAUCCUCACGGGGUUCUGGCUCGACCCCCCUCUCGAAAAUUUUGGAAAAUGGCGGGAAAAAAUAUUUGAUCUCGCAAGAGGAAUUUUCACGCAGCGCGUUGAAAAAGUGUAUGCAUUUGCGCGUGACGGUGUUUGCACAAAAUACACCGAGGGGUCGAGCCAGAACCCCGUGCAUCCUCCCAAUCACUUUCACUGGUUACUUUUUCAUUUUACCUUUUUUUUUACGAAUUUCCGUUCGCGAAACCAAAAAAAAAAUUCCAAAAAAAAGACCGGUGGCUAUAAUUACAGUACUGCUAUUUUCGCAUCGCCAAGGGGGUUAGAUCAGGGGUGCGCGGCAAUUGCCGUACGGCAAUCGAAUUGUCGGCAAUUUCGGCAAUUGCCGAAAUUGCCGAUUGCCGAAAAUUUUGAAAACCGGCAAUUGUCGAAAUUGCCGAUUGCCGGAAAUUUUCGAUUGCCGCGCACCCCUGGGUUAGAUGUUCUUCUCUCCUAUGUGUGUAUAUGUGCUAUCAGUCGAGUACUGAAAAUUGUGCAUGAUUUUUCAAAAAAAAAAAACCACCCAAGUCUUGACUCCUUUUUUUUCGCUGUUUUUUUCUGGAAAACUCAAAAUAUUUGUUCUCUAUUUUUCAAUAAUUUUGAAAAAUAAACCUUUAAAUUGGCUCUCGCCACGAUUUUAGCGGGUCUUUUUUUUCAAAUUUUCAAAUUAUAUAUUUUUUUAUUUAACAAUUCCAAUUUUUACCGAUUUUCAUUGAAAAUUGGCACGGGUUUCUAAUUUCCCCCCUGUUUUCAAAUGGAAGAGGUGGCCGUGAAAAAAGCGAACCUCGACCGGGGGUCGCGACCGGGAAAACUCAACGAAAUUUCGCAUUUUCGUUGCUUUUUUCGGUUUCAAAACACGUUUUCGUUUGAUUUUGUAUUAAAUAAAAUGCAAAAUCGAUUGAAAACGUGUUUUGAAACCGAAGAAAGCAACGAAAAUGCGAAAUUUCGUUAAGUUUUUCCGGUCGCGACCCCCGGUCGAGGUUCGCUUUUUUCACGGCCACCUCUUCCAUUUGAAAACAGGGGGAAAUUAGAAACCCGUGAAUUGGCGAAUUCUCAUUUAAAAAGUUUAAAAAUUGCUUGAGACUUACAGUAGUUUUAAAGGAGCAUGCACAAAUUCUUGCGAUGGGUCUUGCCACGAACUCUAUUCUUCGAAUUUUAAACUCAAAUUUAAAGAUUUUCUUCUCAUUUUUUGCCUAAUAUUCAUCAAAUCUAUUGAUUUUUCUUGCAGAGAAUGUGCCAGGAGGCUCGCCACGUCAGCUUCUAAAUAAUCAACACUAUUUGGAGCAUCAAGAGCCCCCGCGUCAAGCAAUUUUCAACGCAACUCUCCAAAUUCAACAGGAAAUCAAAAACAACGAAAACGGCGGCAUGAUGGCCCCCAGUACUGAGGUUAAUUCGGAGAAAUUUGAAUUAGAAGGCUAAUUUUUACGAUUUUUACCAUAAAAAUCCGUUAAAAACCAUAAUUUUUCCAGGAUCCCGAUACGGUUGUCGAGGCUCAACGUCGUGGAAGCUUCUCGAAGAAAAAGAACGCAAAUGGGUGGAAUAAGGUCGAACUUGUCGAUCAGUGUGUGAGUUUGUGUGACUGAGAAAAAAAAUCUAUCAAAAAUCGAAAAUUUCUACUGUAAAAACGAGAAAAUCUCGAAUUUUCACGUUUUUCAGCGAAAAUUGCCGCAAAAGUUAUAGAUUUUUGAGAAAAUGCCCAUUUUUCAGACAAAAACUUUUAGAAAAAGCGGAUUUCUGACGAAAAUUUGUGAAAAUCGAAUUUUCCCUUAAAAUUGGCUUAAAGAAGGAGUAUCGUCAACGGGGAAAUUGUUUUAAAAUGUAGUAUUGGUGCUCAAACUUCCAAUUAUUACAGAAGAAAAACGAGAAAAAUCCGUUAACAUUGAGCAUUUAGCCGUUGAAAUCGACGAAAGUGGCUGAAUUUGAAUUUAGCGCGCAUAUGAAACCUAGGCCACCACACGAUUUCUAGGCCAUAUUCGUUCAACAAAAUAUUGAUUUAAAUGUAAUUAUUUCGAACUUUAAUUUGUUUUUCUUUCUCAAAAAGUUUAAGAAAACUGAGAUAAAGGAAUUGUAUUAAGUACUUAUCAAAAAUACAAUACACAACAGAAUAAAAAUUCGAUUGAUCCUGGCACUGCAACUUUUUUUGAACGAGGGCCGAGGAGAAAACGUUUCGCGGCCGUGGCCGAGGAUCCGACAAUAUUUCGCGUUUUUUUUCUCGCUUAUUUUUUGUUGUUUUCAUGCACGGCCUCCCGCACGAGAAAAGCGCACACUCUCUCACUUUUUGUUUGCGCGUUUGCGGACGACCACCUUGCCUCGCCGCCGCUUUCAACAGAGAUUCAUGAAAUUGAGCCAGAAUUGCUAUUUUUGAACGAAAUUUCGAAUUUUUUUCACAGAACUAGUGAAAUUGAUAAACUGGGAAGUCGGAAAUUACAAAAAAUAGUUAAUACGAGCUGUUUUUCAGUGAUUUUUCGCAAUAAUUAUAUGGAAUCAGAAGUAUUCUGGGCAAAAAAGCAUUUUUUUAGAUUGAAAAUUGUUAAAUAUAAUACUAUCAGUGUAUUUGAACGGUUUAAAUAAAGAAAAUGUGUACGACUGUGGCUUCGGGCUGAUUCUCGCUCUUCUCGUGGCAAGUGGAUGUAUCGUAUGGACUUUGAACAGCUACAACUUUUUUCGCGUUGGAGAUAGAAACUAGCGAUAAACUGACAAAAUGAACAUCACAAAUAGGUGAACAUUUCUUUAGUUGACAAUUUUUUGAUAUCUCGUUCCACUAAAAAGAUUCAGCUAUGAUUAGAUGAUUGAAGUCUCAGAUACGGUACUCUCUCUUAAAACCAUCAAAUCUCUGUUCUCGUUGAAGAUACAAAAAUGUGUUCAACUGAAAAAAUGUUAAGCAGAUAAAAAACAACAUUUACCAGCAAGAACUACAUUUCUAUCUACAAAACUAAUAGAGAUUCUGACUUUUGAAAAGUGAUUAUCUUAAACCGGCCAUGUCAACAAAUCCUGAACAUUAACAUUGAGUUUUCUAUUGGAAACAUACUCUAUAUAAGAUAUCUAACAAAUUUGUAGUUGACUACUUUCUUCUAAUGUCUUUAUUUUUUGAGAUAUGAACUGAUCUCUGAUUUUCUCAUAAAUACGACUUUCGAGGCUUGUAACAAAUUUGUCUUACUAGUUAGAAAAAUAUUGUCAACAGAAGAAAUAUUCACCAUUUCAAACUGAACAUUUUGUUAGUUAACAAUUUUUUUGUAACUUUUAUAGGAGCGGAGAUAGGAGCAUCCAAAGUGUGAGGGCGCAGUAGAGUGGGUACUGUAGGUGCCGCCACCAACGCGCGCAGCCUUUGGCAUGACAUAAGUCCCUUCAAACUGGACUAAUCCACUUUCCCAAAAAUGUCUUUUAACUGGAAUUGAAAUACAAACAAUCCCUAACCACCGAAAUUUUUACUUUAAGUCAACUAUUUUUGGAAAAUUGCUAAAAAAAAUUGAAAACCUCAAAAAAUAGCCAAUUUAGUACUGAGGUGACUCUUCAAAUAUUAAUAACUUUCUCAAUUUCGGUCCAUUUUUUGAAAUUUUUAGCUCAAAAUGUUGGCAAUAAAAUUCUCUACAAACUUAUUGCGUCCGAUUUUAUUGUUCAAGCCAAAACUUUUUUGCAAAGUUCGAAAAAUUCCGAAAAGUGGUCCAUUUAGCACUGAGGUGACUCUUCAAAUAUUAAUAACUUUCUCAAUUUCGGUCCUUUUUUUGAAAUUUUUAGCCCAAAAUGUUCGCAAUAAAAUUCUCUACAAACUUAUUGCGUCCGAUUUUCAAUAUUUUAUGUUUCACGAUCCCUGCUCUGCUGGAAGUGCUGAACUUUCAAAAUGCAAACUUUUGUUGGUCGAAAAAUUAGAGCUUUAAACAAUUUUUUCGUCUGUUUUUUAUAUUGUCCCGAUAGCUUAACAAGAGUGGAAUAAUUUUUGUUUAAAAAAUAUCAUAUAAUCUUCGGAGUUGGGCCAAAGUUACCGGGAAUCCGUAAUUUUUAUUAUUUUCAAGAUAUUUCGUUUCGUGAUGAAGAAAAUUAUUCCUAUUUUAUUUCAAACGAAAGAUAAUUUCAUUCCUAAUAACCUCCAUUUGUUUAUUUUUCAAUUCAUUCAGUUUCCUCCAUUCCAGACCCAUUUUAAGAUAGCCGCUUGGGCGCCUACUCUCGCCAUGCUGUGGAGGUGAGAGACGCAGAGUCACUUUUUUUCUCUGCCGUCUCUCGGCGCAUUUCACGCGCAGGAGGCCGUGUUCAUGCGUGUUUUUUGUCAUUUUUCUUCAUUUUUUCUCGAUUUUUUUGACAUAAUAUUUGAAAACAAACAUUUUUUUCAGGAAAUUCACAGGAAAUUCGUCAAACCGCUGUCUCCGACGUGUUUUGAGGACAAUUUAAGAGGUAGCAUAUUAAAAUCGAUAUUCAAAAUAUUUCAUCGGUGGAAUGUUUCAAAACCUGAUAGAUAAUGUCCGCCAGGACGUCUUCUGCAAGUUUUAUAUAGCGAUUCCCCAGGAAUUUUGGGUUUUUAACCAAAAAAAAAAAUUUUUCCAAAAAAAUGCACUGAAAAAAAACGAAAUCGAUAUAUUUAAAAUAUUUCAUCGGUGGAAUGUUUCAAAACCUGAUAAAUAAUGUCCGCCAGGACGUGUGCAUACGACUAAACUUGAACCCCCCAACUUCCUGAAAUUAAGUUGUUUUGCGGUGAACUACUUAUUCCUAGACUUUAAAUCCUCUGUGAAUUCCUUGGCAAUGCAGAAAAAAAGAAUGCAGUUUUUCAGUAGCCAGAUCUCCGUCUCCUUUCGAUGAUUCAAAAGAAUAAUACAAGUGAUUGAGCAGCGGGCGUAGCCAUUCUCUUACUGGCUCCAUCUGCUUCUGAUUCGCUUUCUAAGAAUUUGUUAUGAAAUAUUCGUAUCAGUAAGGAAUAAUUAAAGUCUCAACCCUUAAUGAGUUACCUGUCGAAACGUAGUCUGCAAAUUUUUCACAAAGUGCCAACCGUCGAAAUAUUGGUCAAUGUUUUGGAACUUUUCUGAAAUCAAUUUGCAAACUGUUGAAUCACGGUCAGUCGUAAUCGAGUUAAUGGCCACCCCUCUAUUAUCAUCUUCCACUGUUUUAUUGAAUCUUCUCAACGCUAUUUCCAGAGAUUUCGGCUCCAUAGCUUUCGACGAAUCUAAGGAUAUGAUAAUAUAAACAUAGAGUAGAAAUAGUACCUGAAUGGUUCACUUUUCUCAUUAGCUCAACCUCCACAACAAAAUUGGUGUAAACACAUAGGAGUGCAUAUCUACAGUAUUUCGCAGUAAAUCCCCGAGAAUCGUACAUAGCGUCACCAGCUAGAUGAAGUCCACCAUUCUGAAAUUUUAGAGUUCUGUGGAUCCGUUUUGUGCUCGUUGAACCUUAAGACUUUCACAUAAUACAAUUUCCGUUAUUUCUUGUUGCAUUUCAUCGUAAAUUUUGUUCACCUCUGGCUCGACGUGAGCUUUGAUUAUUUUGUAAUGACCGGUUUCUCGCAGAGCCGGAGCACCAAGCCAAUGGAAAAAAUCAAACACUUUCUGAAUUAAACAAAUAGCGGCUAAAUUAGGUAGAACCAUACACUGUAAGAAGCUCCAAUCAUGGCACAAGUUGUCGAAAUAUCUCGAUUUACUUGGCACUCUUUCAAGUUUUGAAUUUUCUUAGAAGACGACCACGUCCAAUCUCUACGGCAAUCAUAGCAUUCUAACGAAACCUGUGAUUUAAGAAUAUUUACAAAAAGAAAACAUUGCUUUUUACCGAAAUCGAUGCACCAUAUGUGUCAAUUUUCUGAGAACAGACAUUUUUGCUUGAGCAAUAUCUGCAUUGUAGAAGUAAUUCUAGAAGUUGCGUAAAAUCGACUAAAACGUAGCUAUACGUUUUUUCUUCAUCGAUUUCGCAGUCCGUGUCUUCUUCAUCGUUCUCUCCUGGACUAUAGUCAUCACCAGACCCAUAUUCAUUCUCCGGAGAAUUGGAUUCACUUUCGAAAUCAUGGAAUUCUUCUGAUUCUUCUAAUCCAAAGGCUUCAGCGUCUUCUGUCCAGUCAUCUAGUUCUUCUCUACGUGACUGUUCAUGAAUCAAAAAAUAAAUAUUCAACUUUUUUAAAGGUACAGUAGCGUGAUUUCACUUCAAAAAAAUCCAAAACAGUCUUAAUUUCAGAAAUAACCCAAAGAAAAACCUUUUACUACGUGGCCUAGAAAAAUCAAAAACUCGGCCAAGAUUUAUCUGGGAUUUUUGACGUGGGAUGUUUCUGAAAUUUGACGAGAAUGCUCUCGAAAGGGGGUUCUAUAGUUUCACCGUGGCGAUUUUUGAGAAAAUGUUCCGUAUCCAUGUUAUGAAGGUGGCCGAGUUUUCUUAUUUUACGGCCACGUAGUAAAAACCGCUCAAUCAAGUCAGAUCCUACAUAAAUGUUUACUCACCAUGAAGUCCAUUUCAUCACUACUGAUUUCGGUGGAAUUUUUUUGAUUUGUGUCAUCAGUUGUCUCAUCGAGUAAUCUUUUCCUAGAGUUUUGAAAAUCUGAGCCAUGUGUGUACUGACACUUCCAGAUUCCUGGACUGACACUUUCAGAUUCCUUCUUUUCCUGUAAUUUUUAUGAAAGGAUACAAUUUUUCACUUUCCUGAACUGACAGGUGUUGUUCGAGCCUUUCUUCGAGUCAAUUUUGAAUCAAUUCCCGAAAACUCGACGUCGUGUAGAUGAAAACGACAGAUGUACACAGCUUUUUUACCCUCUAUAUUUUUAGCAAAUUCAGCCCCUAGCACGUUUAUCCAACUCUAGCGUUCUUCCGGUUUGAUUGGAACUCGUGUAACCUCUGAAGGCGGCGUGAGCCUGAAGCAAUACUGGCAUCGUUUAUCUUGAACCAUCUAACCUAAAAUAUAUUUGAAAAUCUCUCGAAUAAUUUCUUUUUAUUUUCAAUAUAGUCUAUUCAGUUCAGAACUUGUACAUAUGAGCACGAUACAAUUUUUAUCAAUUAGUGUGACAAUUUUUUUUUCAAAAAAUGAUAUAAAUUGUAACUUUUUUAAUACUUUAAUUUUUUUCCAGAUUUCCGGCGAUCUUCGACUUCUCGGUGGCACUCGGUGACGAACUUCUGCUUCUAAUUUUUGUUUUGUUUUAAUUUAAUAUUUUUUUCCAUUUUUAAUAGUAAAUAAUAUAUUUAAAACACUCUUUUUCAGCAUUAAUAAUUCUAGAGGUGGUGGGGGUCUCGUGUUAAUAGAAAUUCACACGAAAGCGUCAUUCUUUUGAAACAUAGGGAUAAAGUAUAAAAUUAGCUAUUCAUAUGAUCCGAGCCCAAUUUUUCCAGAAUAAAGAUUUUUAAUACGAAAUUACUCAAAAAAAUACCUGUUGAUUUUUUUUUCAAUUUCACAAAAGCUUUUUAAUUUGGUGAUGAAAAUUAUUUAAUUUAUCAAUACAGGUCAGUAUUUUAUUCGUUUUCAUAACUUUUAGUGAAAAAAAGUAUAAAUAGAAACUAUUUUUUAAAAGCUAAAACAAAGUAAAUCUCAAUAAGCAACAAUUUCAAUCAGAAACGCGGAGAAACCAGCCCAAAGAGUUAUUUAUGCUGAAAAAGAACUUUUUUUUUCAAAAUUUUCAAUAAAAAAAGGCUAAUCCGCUUUUUUAAUCAAGAAAAGCAAUUAAAAACGAAUUUCCUUGGAAAAAUAAAAUUAAAAAGCACAGCGCGCGCUGUUUAGCGUGCGGCGAGAGCGGAGUGUCGUUGCGCGGCAAACUUGGGAAUUUAAAAACAGCCUUAUAGG